RNAcentral lists this ribosomal RNA (492 nucleotides) under uncultured bacterium. RNAcentral describes it as "partial 16S ribosomal RNA". It matches the Rfam family "Bacterial small subunit ribosomal RNA", at positions 29 to 507 of the family's 1533-position model. The record is from RNAcentral.
ACGAACGCUGGCGGCGUGCUUAACACAUGCAAGUCGAACGGUGAAGCACCUUCCUUUUGGUGGGUGUGGAUGAGUGGCGAACGGGUGAGUAACACGUUAGUAACCUGCCCCCUUCUUCUGGAUAACCGCAUGAAAGUGUGGCUAAUACGGGAUAUUCUGGGUCUGUCGCAUGGCGGUCCUGGGAAAGAGAUUGUUUCGGUGGGGGAUGGGCUCGCGGUCUUUCAGCUUGGUGGUGGGGUUAUGGACUACUUAGGCGGUGACGGGUAGCCGGCAUGGGAGGGUGGACGGCCACACUGGGUCAGAGGCGCGGCCCAGACUCAUACGGGGGGCAGCCGUGGGGAGGAUUGCGCAGUGGGCGAAAGUGUGAUGCAGCGGCGCCGCGUGAGGGAUGGAGGCGUGCGGGUUGUAAACCUCUUUCGCCAGUGAAGCAGGCCUGUCUCUUUUGUGGGUGGGUUGACGGUAGCGGGAUAAGAAGCGCCGGCUAACUACGUG